Molecule: ribosomal RNA, 379 nt
Filed under: uncultured bacterium
Lineage: Bacteria
Description: bacterial SSU rRNA
Rfam family: Bacterial small subunit ribosomal RNA
Source: RNAcentral
CGAAAACCAGACGCAGCGACGCCGCGUGGGCGAAGAAGGCCUUCGGGUUGUAAAGCCCUUUUCUCAGGGGAAGAGGAAGGACGGUAACCUGGGAAUAAGUCCCGGCUAUCUAUGUACCAGCAGGCGCGGUAAGACAUAGGGGACGAGCGUUAUCCGGAUUUACUGGGCGUAAAGAGCGUUGAGGCGGUUCCGUAAGUUGGAUGUGAAAGCCCCGGGCUUAACUCGGGGAGGUCGUUCAAUACUACGGGGCUAGAGGGCAGCAGAGGGAGGUGGAAUUCCCGGUGUAGUGGUGAAAUGCGUAGAUAUCGGGAGGAACACCCGUGGCGAAGGCGGCCUCCUGGGCUGACCCUGACGCUGAAUGACGAAAGCUAGGGGAACG